UACGUAGGGGGCAAGCGUUGUCCGGAAUUAUUGGGCGUAAAGGGCUCGUAGGCGGUUUCUUAAGUCUGAUGUGAAAGCCCACAGCUCAACUGUGGAGGGUCAUUGGAAACUGGGGAACUUGAGUGCAGAAGAGGAGAGUGGAAUUCCACGUGUAGCGGUGAAAUGCGUAGAUAUGUGGAGGAACACCAGUGGCGAAGGCGGACGUCUCUGGUCUGUAACUGACGCUGAGGAGCGAAAGCGUGGGGAGCAAACAGG
This 255-nucleotide ribosomal RNA is filed under the name uncultured bacterium. RNAcentral's name for it is "partial 16S ribosomal RNA". It matches the Rfam family "Bacterial small subunit ribosomal RNA", at positions 524 to 776 of the family's 1533-position model. The record is from RNAcentral.